This 74-nucleotide transfer RNA is filed under the name Candidozyma auris. RNAcentral describes it as "[Candida] auris tRNA-Val". Lineage: Eukaryota; Fungi; Ascomycota; Pichiomycetes; Serinales; Metschnikowiaceae. The record is from RNAcentral.
UUUUUUGUUUUACCGGUCUUGAACUUGACUUCGGCAAUUUACACACCAUCGUCAGGACGGUUUUGUUCCACCUC